This 478-nucleotide ribosomal RNA is filed under the name uncultured bacterium. Its description in RNAcentral is "partial 16S ribosomal RNA". It matches the Rfam family "Bacterial small subunit ribosomal RNA", at positions 28 to 507 of the family's 1533-position model. The record is from RNAcentral.
GAUGAACGCUGGCGGCGUGCUUAACACAUGCAAGUCGAACGGGAAUUAUUUUAUUGAGGCUUCGGUCGAUUUAAUUUAAUUCUAGUGGCGGACGGGUCAGUCACGCGUGGGUAACCUGCCUUAUACAGGGGGAUAAAAGUCAGAAAUGGCUGCUAAUACGGCAUAAGCGGACAGAGAUGCAUGGCUCAGUGUGGAAAACUGCGGUGGUAUAAGAUGGACCCGCGUUGGAGUAGCUGGUCGGGGGGGUAACGGCCCACCAGGGCGACGAUCCAUAGCCGGACUGCGAGGGGGAACGGUGACAUUGGGACUGAGCCACGGCCCAGACUCCUACGGGAGGCAGCAGUGGGGAAUAUAGCACAAUGGGCGAAAUCCUGAUGCAGCGACUCCGCGUGAAGGAAGAAGUAUCUCGGUACGGAAAUUUGCAGCAGCAGGGAAGAUAGUGACGGUACCUGACUAAGAAGCCCCGGCUAACUACGUG